GCACCACAAGAACGCGUGGAGCAUGUGGCUUAAUUUGACUCAACGCGGGAAAUCUUACCGGGUCCGGACACACUGAGGAUUGACAGGCAAUAUCUCAUGUUAACGGUAAGUUUACUUACCGCUUAACAUCAGUGUUAAAUAUGCUAGUCCUUUCAUGAUUAUGUGAUAGGUGGUGCAUGGCCGUUCUUAGUUCGUGGAGUGAUCUGUCUGCUUAAUUGCGUUUCACUAAGGGCCCAUAAAUUCAAGGUAUGUUAGCUCUCGUCGCUCUAUGGACCCCUUAACUCCAAUAUUCUUAUUGUGUUAAGCGCGUGUCUUUAUUUUAAGAGUUUUAAGACACUGCGCAUGCUGUUGGGCUCUGAAAGCAACAAACGUGACCGCAACGUCUUGUUGCCUUAAACUAGCGUAUAUUGCAAUUUAUUG
Molecule: ribosomal RNA, 420 nt
Filed under: Neogloboquadrina pachyderma
Lineage: Eukaryota; Foraminifera; Rotaliida; Globorotaliidae
Description: partial 18S ribosomal RNA
Rfam family: Eukaryotic small subunit ribosomal RNA
Source: RNAcentral